RNAcentral lists this ribosomal RNA (119 nucleotides) under Pteropus alecto (black flying fox). The record is from RNAcentral. Lineage: Eukaryota; Metazoa; Chordata; Mammalia; Chiroptera; Pteropodidae.
AACUUCACCGGUGCCGCCCUGAACGAGCCCGAUCCCGUCUGAUCUCGGAAGCUAAGCAGGGUCGGGCCUGGUUAGUACUUGGAUGGGAGACUAACUAGAAAGAUCAGGUGCUGUAGGCG